UGAAAUUGUCAUUUGAUCAUUCAAAUUCCUUCCUUUUGAUUUGAACAAUUUUCUUUAGUGAAACUAUGUUAAACUGGGUUGAAUUGAAAAUUCAAAGUUGUCAAAUUUUCAAAAUCACUGGUUGAGUUGUGAAAAAAAUGCAGAAAAUUCUACAAUUUGAUUUGACACUAAGGGCCCUCUGCUGAGGGGUGCCCAGCGCCAGCUGAUCAGGUGGGAGGACUUAUGGUCGAGUCGCGCUCAACGCCUUCUUGAGGGGCGCUCAGCGUUGGCAUCGUAGACUUCACAUUUUGGGCUUUUGUGUCCAGCUCACUUAAGCCCAAUUAAAACCUUUAACCCUAACACACUCACCCAAGUCUCUCACUCUCACACACACUCAUUUUAGAUGACCAAACAUUGUGCCCUAAGCUCUCUCUCACUUUCAUUCAUCCUUCCCACUAAUACAAAUCUCUCCAUUCACUCAAGCUCACUUUCAC
Molecule: long non-coding RNA, 473 nt
Filed under: Vigna radiata
Lineage: Eukaryota; Viridiplantae; Streptophyta; Magnoliopsida; Fabales; Fabaceae
Description: long non-coding RNA (VRAD_LNC006857)
Source: RNAcentral